RNAcentral lists this long non-coding RNA (872 nucleotides) under Helianthus annuus (common sunflower). Lineage: Eukaryota; Viridiplantae; Streptophyta; Magnoliopsida; Asterales; Asteraceae. The record is from RNAcentral.
GACAUUCAAAAUCAAAUUGAAACCCUAAAUGUAAAUGCCGUCCACAUGAAUACCCCAAAAUAUUGAAGACAACACCUUUCUAAUGUCCGAUCCCACAGUUAAUCUCAGGCUUCUUUUGGGUUGUAACACCCCCAAUCGGACUCGAGACAUGUCUAGGGCACGGGAUUGUGGUUGCAGGCUUCACAUUCGUCACAAUAGGGUUUGAAUUGACGAUGGAUUCUCUAACUCACAUAUUGUUGCUGUUGUUUGUUUUUUAAGCACAUGGUGAAGGUCAUAGAACUAAUUGAUAACCUGGAAGUUACAAGACAUGUGCCCUACAUUGGUGGGUUCGGAUGGAUAUCCUUUUCAGGGGAAAUUUAUCUUCAGCUUAAAUUUGGAGAAGAUGCUGUUAAGUGAUGAAAAGCAAUGUGCGGAACACAUCAUGCUGGUUGACUUAGGGAGGAAUGAUGUCGGAAAGGUAACGAAACCUGGUUAAGUUAAUGUGGAAAAGCAUAUGACCGUUGAACGGUACUCCCAUGUGAUGCAUAUUAGUUCCACCAUUUAACCAUCAAAUUGUACAAAAGUGCCCUUCUGAUGCUAGAGCAUUCAAAAAGUAUGAAUUUAGAUGACAGAAUAUUGGAGAAGACUUUGAUAGACCUGGCGGAGUUGCUUCAUCUUGUAGGAUGGUAUGAUGUAUAUGUCCUAGAUUUUUCACACUUACGGGUCAAUAUUCAGGUUGUAAUUUAUUGAUAACGGGUCAAGCAUGUCAUAUGUAGAAAAGUAGAUGAUAAUGAAACGGGUCAACAAUUUGGAUGAGUGUAAAAUGGGCUGAAAGUUACCAAACUUGUAUUUAAAUGAUUACAGUCUUUUAAAUCAUCUUAUUUAAAAGAGUU